This 344-nucleotide long non-coding RNA is filed under the name Olea europaea (common olive). RNAcentral's name for it is "long non-coding RNA (OEUR_LNC011309)". The record is from RNAcentral. Lineage: Eukaryota; Viridiplantae; Streptophyta; Magnoliopsida; Lamiales; Oleaceae.
ACCAUGAAGGGAGUUCAACUCUGUAUGCAACUCUUCCAAUCCUCUUCACAAUGGGUAAUGGUCCAAUGUAUUUUGGUGACAAUCUUGAGUCCUUCCCUCUUGUUGGUUUGUAAACAUUUCUGUCGGGAAGCUUAACCAUUACUAGAUCUCCAACAUUGAAUUCAAUAAAACGGCGCUAUAGAUCUGCAGCCUUUUUAUACCGUUUUUGAGCUUUUUCAAGAUAACUCCGAGCAAUUUCAAUAUUUCGUUUCCACUCUUGAGAAAAGCUCUUUGCUUGAGGGGACUUGGUACUUCGUUCAAUAUCCACUGUAUGAGGGAGUAGCGGUUGCUGGCCAGUAACAAUC